GAUGAAGAACGCAGUGAAAUGCGAUAAGUAAUGUGAAUUGCAGAAUUCAGUGAAUCAUCGAAUCUUUGAACGCACAUUGCGCCCGCCAGCACUCUGGCGGGCAUGCCUGUUCGAGCGUCAUUUCAACCAUCAAGCCCCCAGGGGCUUGUGCUGGGGCCCUGCGGCUGCCCGCAGGCCCUGAAAACCAGUGGCGGGCUCGCUAGUCACACCGAGCGCAGUAGCACAUCUCGCUCAGGGCGUGCGGCGGGCUCCUGCCGUGAAACCCCCCACUGUAACACCAAAGGUUGACCUCGGAUCAGGUAGGAAUACCCGCUGAACUUAAGCAUAUCAAUAAGCGGAGGA
RNAcentral lists this unclassified non-coding RNA (342 nucleotides) under soil metagenome. RNAcentral describes it as "partial contains 5.8S ribosomal RNA, internal transcribed spacer 2, and large subunit ribosomal RNA". The stretch from base 1 to 120 matches the Rfam family "5.8S ribosomal RNA", at positions 35 to 154 of the family's 154-position model. The record is from RNAcentral.